This 222-nucleotide ribosomal RNA is filed under the name uncultured bacterium. RNAcentral describes it as "partial 16S ribosomal RNA". It matches the Rfam family "Bacterial small subunit ribosomal RNA", at positions 328 to 539 of the family's 1533-position model. The record is from RNAcentral.
ACGCUCGACACCUACGGGAGCAGCAGUAGGGAAUCUUCCACAAUGGACGCAAGUCUGAUGGAGCAACGCCGCGUGAGUGAAGAAGGUUUUCGGAUCGUAAAGCUCUGUUGUUGGUGAAGAAGGAUAGAGGUAGUAACUGGCCUUUAUUUGACGGUAAUCAACCAGAAAGUCACGGCUAACUACGUGCUAGCAGCCGCGGUAAUCUGAGCGGGCUGGCAAGGC